UAGGAAAGGCAAAGGAUCUCUGCUGAUCUACCUCCUCAUCAGAUGUUGCCCUGCCUUCAGCUGCUGAGAUGCUAGCACACCUACACACCACACUGUGCUUAGCUACCGUAAAAGCAAAUGCUGUUUUGACUACAUCACAGAAUUUCCAAAUCAAGAAAACUCAUGGCAAGUGCAUCCUCAGGGUACCUUGCAGAACUCCGGAAAAGUGUGUUUUGACUGAUGGAGGGGUUAAAAAUUACAUUUUCUUCUGCACUUGCUUACUCAUGCCUCAUCACAAAGUUACCUCCGCUCAGCUUCGCGGUGUGCCCGAGCCCG
Molecule: long non-coding RNA, 315 nt
Filed under: Dromaius novaehollandiae (emu)
Lineage: Eukaryota; Metazoa; Chordata; Aves; Casuariiformes; Dromaiidae
Description: lncRNA (ENSDNVG00000014454.1)
Source: RNAcentral